Molecule: ribosomal RNA, 253 nt
Filed under: uncultured bacterium
Lineage: Bacteria
Description: partial 16S ribosomal RNA
Rfam family: Bacterial small subunit ribosomal RNA
Source: RNAcentral
UACGUAGGUGGCGAGCGUUGUCCGGAUUUACUGGGCGUAAAGGGAGCGUAGGCGGAUUUUUAAGUGAGAUGUGAGAUACUCGGGCUCAACUUGAGUGCUGCAUUUCAAACUGGAAGUCUAGAGUGCAGGAGAGGAGAAUGGAAUUCCUAGUGUAGCGGUGAAAUGCGUAGAGAUUAGGAAGAACACCAGUGGCGAAGGCGAUUCUCUGGACUGUAACUGACGCUGAGGCUCGAAAGCGUGGGGAGCAAACAGG